CGGGCAUAUCUAAGGAAACUGAGCAUGUCUUCAGUUAAGCUGGUGUGGAUGGUACUUUUAGCUACCAUCGUCUACAUUGACUCCGUAAAGAGCUACAGUGUCUUUAUGGACGAAGUAUUUGGACCCUGUCCUAAACCU
Dermacentor andersoni is the source of this 138-nucleotide long non-coding RNA. RefSeq lists it as uncharacterized. The record is from RefSeq and is a predicted model, not a curated record. NCBI's taxonomy places the organism in Eukaryota, Metazoa, Arthropoda, Arachnida, Ixodida, Ixodidae.